UGCCAGCCGCCGCGGUAAUACGGGGGGCGCAAGCGUUAUUCGGAAUUACUGGGCGUAAAGCGCGCGUAGGCGGACUAUUAAGUUAGGGGUGAAAUCCCAGGGCUCAACCCUGGAACUGCCUCUAAUACUGGUAGUCUAGAGUUCGAGAGAGGUGAGUGGAAUUCCGAGUGUAGAGGUGAAAUUCGUAGAUAUUCGGAGGAACACCAGUGGCGAAGGCGGCUCACUGGCUCGAUACUGACGCUGAGGUGCGAAAGUGUGGGGAGCAAACAGGAUUAGAUA
Molecule: ribosomal RNA, 279 nt
Filed under: uncultured bacterium
Lineage: Bacteria
Description: partial 16S ribosomal RNA
Rfam family: Bacterial small subunit ribosomal RNA
Source: RNAcentral